UAUCCUGCAGAAUGUUACAUCAUCAUUUACCCAGGGAGUUACUCAUCUCAUAUCUAAACAAACUGAAUAUGCGGAGAAUUUUAGGACUUGUAUGUGCGCUUUCCUCUUUUUGUGUAGGAAAAGAACCAAAGUGUUCCGGCUACCGCUGUGAGGAACUACUAGCAAAAAUAGAUAAACUGGAAUGUAGACUGGAAUACACUAGGGAACUGUUGGAAGAUAAGGAAAAGACGCGAGUUGCUCCCGUUCGAAUCCCAGCAUGUGCGCAGUGCCCAGAUACAUGGAUACAAUACAAAGGAUCUUGCUACCAUUUUGUUGCUGCGAAUAAUACAUUCAGCCGAGCCGAGUCACACUGUCUUGGUCUUGGAGCUCAUUUAGUACACAUAGAAAAUGGUCUAGAAACGAGUUCAUAAGGAGCCAACUGAGAACGUUGAAAGAGAAAGAGUACUGGAUAGGACUCACAGACGCUGACACAGAAGGAACAUUCAAAUGGGUAGACGACAAUUCCACAGCAUCAUUCACAGACUGGUACAAAUUGCAGCCUGAUAAUGGCGCAGGACGCGAACAUUGUGUGCAUUUCAGAGAU
Mercenaria mercenaria is the source of this 583-nucleotide long non-coding RNA. RefSeq lists it as uncharacterized. NCBI's taxonomy places the organism in Eukaryota, Metazoa, Mollusca, Bivalvia, Venerida, Veneridae. The transcript has 4 exons. The record is from RefSeq and is a predicted model, not a curated record.